This 666-nucleotide long non-coding RNA is filed under the name Numida meleagris (helmeted guineafowl). RNAcentral describes it as "lncRNA (ENSNMEG00000011743.1)". Lineage: Eukaryota; Metazoa; Chordata; Aves; Galliformes; Numididae. The record is from RNAcentral.
GUGCAGUAUAGUUGAGAAUAUGCUUCUGCAGCUUGGAAAAUGAGCAGGAACACCAACUCACUCAACUAUUAUCGUAUGUAAAACAUCUUUGUAUUUGCAAUUACUGGGAGAAGUGACAGGACAGUACCCAACUGGGAAAACUGGAAGCUGCUGAAAUUAAUUAAGUGUUCCCAUGGCUUGGCUUGAAGGAUGUGAAAUGUUCCACGAAGCCAACAAGCUAGUAUCAUCAGCAAGCAGUAUUCCAGUGUUCAGAUACACACAGCCACAACUACACCAGCAGCAGUGCAAACAGGUGGUGUCUACAGCAGUGGCUUCUGGGAGCUUCCAAUUGCAGCAAUUUUUUCUGAACAAGAUCAAACGAUGCUUCUUUGCUUUAUUUGCCAGGUAAUCAUUUUUCAAAAUAUUUCUUCCCUCAUAUUAAAUGUGGUCUUUAGUCCAAAGCUUGUCAAGUUUUCUUUAAGCUAUAUUUGAAGUUAAAAACACAAGCUGUUUCUUUAUUAUUCCGAAUACAUUAUUUUUUCUCCAUUCUCAGUUUCUCAAAUCUAAAGCACUCAGAUGUCAACAGCUAUCUAGAUACCAAAAGAUAUACUGUCAUUGGUCUCACGACUUUUGCUAGAUCAUAUGCCUCAAAACACAGUCAAAUAAAAAUAAAAAGUAGUUGUUUCA